RNAcentral lists this long non-coding RNA (378 nucleotides) under Dromaius novaehollandiae (emu). RNAcentral describes it as "lncRNA (ENSDNVG00000002467.1)". The record is from RNAcentral. Lineage: Eukaryota; Metazoa; Chordata; Aves; Casuariiformes; Dromaiidae.
GAAAGAUGAAUGUGAAGUUUGCUGAUGUAAAAGGGAACACUGGUGUCUACCCCACACCAUCGUAACCAGGACUAAACUGGAGGCAGUAUGAGGGUCUCUGACUUCGCUCUGGUUCUGCYUCCAUGUGGCCUUGGUUGCUUUCUUUGCAUCAGCAACCAGAAAGUGGAGGUUGCUUGUGGAUCCCUCACCCUCCGCCUAAGUUGAACUCUUCCCCCAGCUAGGUUAACAGAACAACUGCAAAGCAGAUCUAAAAGGCUCCCAAACAUACCUGGAUGCAGCUAGAUGUACCGACAGACUGACUCUGCAUGCCACUUGCAGAGGUCACCGAGAGUCAUGUCUAAGCAUUCUUGGGUGACUGUUAGGAGUAGGAGAAAAACG